Molecule: non-coding RNA, 456 nt
Organism: Pelobates cultripes (western spadefoot toad)
Lineage: Eukaryota; Metazoa; Chordata; Amphibia; Anura; Pelobatidae
Source: the annotation of a GenBank genome assembly
CUGAUAUCCUGAAUACCUGUAUUAUCUGACCUUGGACUGCAUUAUCGUUGUUGAACCUCUGCUGCCUGGAUUUUAACCAUUGGAUUGCCCGACUUUGCUUCUGCCUUGCCCCUAUUGGAUUGUUUGCAUCGGACUUUGCUUUAUUAUUUUUUCAGCAAAUACAAGUACUGCAACCUGAGUUUCAUACGAGUACACCUGAGAGACAAUAGGAGGCAAGUCUCCCAGCACAUACCAGGAGGAGGGGAAAGACGAGUUGUCAUAUGCCUUUUUAGUGCCCAGUCUGUGAGCCCAGCUCAUCCUACGCCAACUGAGGGCAAAGCACAGUCCCAUAACAGUGGGGAACACCACAGGGACUCCAUGACUAAUAAAUACAGGUUGGUCAUCAUGAUAGGUAGGAUUGAGGUAUGCAAACUCUUACCAGGCUCACCAUACAAUCCAGCUUUAAGCAACCUCAGG